UUACAAAGGGGGGUGACUCCCUUUCCCCCUCUGGUCUUCCUCUUUCUCCUCCUCGAAACCUUCCUCCCCGCGUACAGCACUGUGGAUCGGCUGGCGCUUUAUGGCGGAAAGGGUGGAUCUAGAAAGAAGGGUGAAAGCAGGUGGCUGUUUGCCAGAUGGUGAAAACCGGAUGGCCGGUCGUUUGUGGAAGCCUGGAAUCUUUUUCCCCCUUGCUGUCGUGGUGCUUCCGUACCCUCGGUGUCAGCGGGAGGAGGUCGAAAAUCAAAAUAAAAAAACGUGUCAUGAUUAAGAGGGACGGCCGGGGGCAUUCGUACCGCGGCGCGAGAGGUGAAAUUCUAGGACCGUCGCGAGACGAACGAUAGCGAAAGCAUUUGCCAAGAAUGUUUUCCUUAAUCAAGAACGAAAGUCGGAGGUUCGAAGGCGAUCAGAUACCGCCCUAGUUCCGACCUUAAACCAUGCCGUCCGACCGCCCGCCAGGGUUACUACCGCGACUCGGCGGGCGGUGACUUUCCACCGGGAAACCCUUAAGCUUUCGGGUUCCGGGGGAAGUACGGUCGCAAAGCUGAAACUUAAAGGAAUUGACGGAAGGGCACCACCAGGAGUGGAGCCUGCGGCUUAAUUUGACUCAACACGGGGAACCUCACCCGGCCCGGACACCGCGAGGAUUGACAGAUCGAUAGCUCUUUCUCGAUCCGGUGGGUGGUGGUGCAUGGCCGUUCUUAGUUGGUGGAGCGAUCUGUCUGGUUAAUUCCGAUAACGAACGAGACUCUAGCCGGUUAAGUAGCCCGAGUGGCGUGUUGUUGAUUAAAAAACCGCCCUAGCGGCUUUCGGGGCACUUCUUGGAAGUUGUCUGGCUUUAACGGUGGUGGGACAGGGAGGUGGAAGACGACGGUCGGUGCCGCGUGUGUCGUGGCUCGGAUCUAGUUUUUUUAACUUCUCUUAAAUCCUGUCGCGUUUCGGCCUUUCACUUCUGAGGAUCUCUGUUUGCUUACCUAGGGUAGAUAAAACGUUAACGAGAGUCGGGGGCAGUGGACGUUACUUGUGGAAUGGGUGGGCGUCUCUUCAUGGGGCGUCUCCCUUCCCUGUUUCGCUUUUCUGCUGUCCUCGUCAUCUCGCGCCACCGGCUUUCGAGUGCAAAAGCUUCUUAGAGGGACGAGCGGCGUUCAGCCGCGCGAGAUUGAGCGAUAAC
RNAcentral lists this ribosomal RNA (1189 nucleotides) under Epiperipatus sp. ony161. RNAcentral's name for it is "SSU rRNA". It matches the Rfam family "Eukaryotic small subunit ribosomal RNA", at positions 644 to 1457 of the family's 1831-position model. Lineage: Eukaryota; Metazoa; Onychophora; Udeonychophora; Euonychophora; Peripatidae. The record is from RNAcentral.